GAUAAACGCUGGCGGCGUGCCUAACACAUGCAAGUCGAACGCCCUUACGCAAGUAAGGGAGUGGCGGACGGGUGAGGAACACGUGGGUGAUCUGCCUUGAGGUGAGGAAUACCGGCGAGAAAUCGCCGACAAUACCGCAUACGUUCGCAAGAACAAAGUCGCAAGACGCCUUGAGAUGAGCCUGCGUCCGAUUAGCUAGUUGGUGGGGUAAAGCCUACCAAGGCAGCGAUCGGUAGCUGGUCUGAGAGGACGAUCAGCCACACUGGGAUUGAGAACGGCCCAGACUCCUACGGGGGCAGCAGUGAGGAAUUUUCGUCAAUGGCCGAAAGGCUGAACGAGCAACGCCGCGUGCAGGAAGAAGGUCUUCGGAUCGUAAACUG
Molecule: ribosomal RNA, 380 nt
Filed under: uncultured bacterium
Lineage: Bacteria
Description: bacterial SSU rRNA
Rfam family: Bacterial small subunit ribosomal RNA
Source: RNAcentral